UUUGAUGGAUGUUUGUUCUGUAAUCUCAUUUAGAAUAUGCCCUAGUUUGGGUAGACUUUUUUCUUUUCUUUCUUUUCCUUUUCCUCCUUUUUUUUAAUUUUGAAGAGAAGAAUGUGGGAAAGGAUUUAUAAUAAGAUAUUCCCGAGCAUGAAAAAAGAGAGACAUUUUCUCUUUAGUAAUUCAACAGAACUCAACGAAUGAACAAAUGACAGAAAAAAUGAAGCAUCAUUUGGGUGGUUAACUUAACAAACAAAUAGAAUUUUAGCAGGGGUACAAUUUUUCCAAGUAACAGUCUCUUGCAUAAAUCUAUCAUUGAGAAAAGUACCAGCCAGAAUAAUAAUAGAAUUUAUAGCAAUAACAAUAAAACAUGUGUUUGUUUUUGUCUUUCACUUGCUUCCAAAAAGCCCAAUGUCCUUGACAAAUCAGUGUUUCACAUCUAUAUCAUCAGUGGGGUUAAUCGGCAGCAGGUAUUGCUCUCCAUGUUAUAAGCUGGAGAGACUUGUGUGCUGAAAGAAAGUUUGCCUGAGAUUCCCAUAGAAAGUCCAUAAAACUAAAAGGAUUUAGGAUUGGGGCCUCCCAAACCAGUGCAUUCAUUUCUCUUUAGAUAAUACUGUUUCUCAGCAAAUGUAACUUGUGCCUUAACUAAAAAUUUGCUCAGUUUUGAAUUUUUACUCACUGCAAUAACUAACAAAAUGGAAAAUGCAUAAUGACUCAUUUGCAGAACAUUUUAUAUCCUGUAAUUAAGACUCUAGGAAUCAAAUUAUAGAGUGUCAGCUCUAUUCCUUUGAGCAGAUAUCACUGGCAAUGAGGCGUCUUGCAACGGCCCCUGACUUUGAUUUGGGGCAGCUGAUUCGCAUUUUGCUUUUAACAACAAUCUCAUUGGCUAAAAAUUAUUGAUACUUUCACAUGCAAUGAGUAUAGAUGUUUGACAAGAACAGCACACAAUCAUGUCAUUUCUCUCAUGCACAAGCUCUUUUGUGAUUCGGUAAUCAGUGAACAUAAUUGUCACCUAUUUACAGAUAUGCUUGAAAAUAUGUAGUUUCAAAUUACUCGAGUCAUUUUAGCAGCAUGCCUAAUUUCCUAUACUUUAUUAAGUGUUACACUUUGGCAGUUGUGUUAAAUCGUGAGCAAACUCUAACACCUAGAAGAGUCAGGCUAGUACACAAAUGUAUGAAUGAGAUC
Molecule: long non-coding RNA, 1182 nt
Filed under: Equus caballus (horse)
Lineage: Eukaryota; Metazoa; Chordata; Mammalia; Perissodactyla; Equidae
Description: lncRNA (ENSECAG00000046119.1)
Source: RNAcentral